Molecule: ribosomal RNA, 301 nt
Filed under: uncultured bacterium
Lineage: Bacteria
Description: partial 16S ribosomal RNA
Rfam family: Bacterial small subunit ribosomal RNA
Source: RNAcentral
CAGCAGCCGCGGGAAAACGAAGGGGGCUAGCGUUGUUCGGAAUCACUGGGCGUAACGGGUGCGCAGGCUGGUUCUUAAGUCAGGGGUGAAAUCCCGAGGCUCAACCUCGGAACGGCCUUUGAUACUGGGGAUCUUGAGUCCGGAAGAGGUGAGUGGAACUGCGAGUGUAGAGGUGAAAUUCGUAGAUAUUCGCAAGAACACCGGUGGCGAAGGCGGCUCACUGGUCCGGAACUGACGCUGAGGCACGACAGCGUGGGGAGCAAACAGGAUUAGAUACCCCAGUAGUCCCUGUCUCUUAUAC